CGCGGCCUAUCAGCUUGUUGGUGAGGUAACGGCUCACCAAGGCAUCGACGGGUAGCUGGUCUGAGAGGACGAUCAGCCACACUGGGACUGAGACACGGCCCAGACUCCUACGGGAGGCAGCAGUAGGGAAUCUUGCGCAAUGGGCGAAAGCCUGACGCAGCAACGCCGCGUGGGGGGUGAAUGCCUUCGGGUUGUAAACCCCUUUCAGCAGGGACGAAAAUGACGGUACCUGCAGAAGAAGCUCCGGCCAACUACGUGCCAGCAGCCGCGGUAAUACGUAGGGAGCGAGCGUUGUCCGGAAUUAUUGGGCGUAAAGAGCUCGUAGGCGGUUCAGUAAGUCGGGUGUGAAAACUCAAGGCUCAACCUUGAGACGCCACUCGAUACUGCUGUGACUUGAAUCCGGUAGAGGAGUGUGGAAUUCCUGGUGUAGCGGUGAAAUGCGCAGAUAUCAGGAGGAACACCAGCGGCGAAGGCGGCACUCUGGGCCGGUACUAACGCUGAGGAGCGAAAGCAUGGGGAGCAAACAGGAUUAGAUACCCUGGUAGUCCAUGCCGUAAACGUUGGGCACUAGGUAUGGGAUCAUAUCAACGGAUUCCGUGCCGUAGCUAACGCAUUAAGUGCCCCGCCUGGGGAGUACGG
Molecule: ribosomal RNA, 639 nt
Filed under: uncultured Actinomycetes bacterium
Lineage: Bacteria; Bacillati; Actinomycetota; Actinomycetes
Description: bacterial SSU rRNA
Rfam family: Bacterial small subunit ribosomal RNA
Source: RNAcentral